This 253-nucleotide ribosomal RNA is filed under the name uncultured bacterium. RNAcentral's name for it is "partial 16S ribosomal RNA". It matches the Rfam family "Bacterial small subunit ribosomal RNA", at positions 524 to 776 of the family's 1533-position model. The record is from RNAcentral.
UACGUAGGCAGCAAGCGUUGUUCGGAAUUACUGGGCGUAAAGAGUGUGUAGGCGGUGUUCUAAGUCUGUUGUGAAAUCUCCCGGCUUAACUGGGAGGGUGCGGCGGAAACUGGAAUGCUAGAGGAUGGGAGAGGUAAGCGGAAUUCCUGGUGUAGCGGUGAAAUGCGUAGAUAUCAGGAGGAACACCUGUGGUCUAGACAGCUUACUGGACCAUUUCUGACGCUGAGACACGAAAGCGUGGGUAGCAAACAGG